This 367-nucleotide unclassified non-coding RNA is filed under the name Hevea brasiliensis (rubber tree). Lineage: Eukaryota; Viridiplantae; Streptophyta; Magnoliopsida; Malpighiales; Euphorbiaceae. The record is from RNAcentral.
CUUACCUUGUUUGAUGUAUGGGAUAACGGUUUCCAGAAAUUUUGGAUAGAGUUGAUAAAAGUCAUCAGCCAAGAAUCCUUCCAUGCGAAUUCGUUUCCCAAUAACAGAUGCUAGGUUGUGUACACCUUCAGGCUUUUCUUGAUUGUUCUGAGAGAUCAUUCCACACACAGCAAUCCGUCCACGAAUCCUCAUGUUUAGGAGUACUGCAUCAAGCAUUUUCCCUCCAACAUUUUCAAAGUAAAUAUCUAUGCCUUCAGGAAAAUACCUUUUUAAGAGCUGCAUCUAAAUCUGGCUCUUCCUUGUAGUUGAAAGCCUCAUCAAACCCGAACUUGUUCUUAAGCAGAUCAACCUUAUCUUUUGAUCCAGC